CUCUGGCCCUCCCUUUCUUAUCCCGUGUCCUCUCUCCCCUCCAGGUCAAUGGACUUCUGAGGAAGAAGACCUCUCUCCCCACUUUAAAAGGGACUGGCGUUGCUGAGCUCGUUGUGUGUGGAGUGGAGGAAACCUUGAAGGACGGUGUAUUAUUUGACACGAGGAUCCAGAUGCCUCAAAUUCACGGAAAAGCCAAUGUCUUCCCCAGUCUGGGUAAUGCUCAGCAAGGUGGCACAGCCUCCCUCUGGUCCUAGUGCCAUGUUGGCAGUACGUGCAGAAACCAGCAGCCACAGCUUCCUUCUCCUGGAUGACUGCAACGUGAGGCUCCAGCCUUGCUUGCUACAGCUGGUGCUGCCCCAUCGGAGAGAGCGCCUCCCAUUUGAUCCCAGCUUUUUGUUUUGUAGCACAGUAAAGGACACAUGCUCCAAGGCUUUCGGCAUAUUGAUAGACUGAUGUUCAGAAACUGGUAUGAGUACAGCAGAACCCAUAAGGACUCCCUUCUCCAGCCUCCCACAUCCCUGA
Molecule: long non-coding RNA, 522 nt
Organism: Myodes glareolus (Bank vole)
Lineage: Eukaryota; Metazoa; Chordata; Mammalia; Rodentia; Cricetidae
Source: RefSeq, a predicted model, not a curated record